AUACUCGAUUUUCGCGAAGCAAGAAAAACACUGUGAUACCAUCUCGAACUCAAUAGUUAAGGCUUGCUGUGGUUAAAAUAGCAGAAGGGGGACUUUCUGUGAAGAUAACUAAGAUCGAGUUAU
This 123-nucleotide ribosomal RNA is filed under the name Diacronema lutheri. The record is from RNAcentral. Lineage: Eukaryota; Haptophyta; Pavlovophyceae; Pavlovales; Pavlovaceae.